GUCAGCAUGGCCACAUGUCUGUCUUGUCUCCAACACCAACUGGUCGAUCUGUACUCAAUGACAGCACUUUUUAAUUUAAUGCUCCCAUUGAGACAAUUUUUGAGGCUCCAUGUAAAAGUUAUCACACAGCCGUAAAAAUCCACAGCAGCCCUGGAAAUGUGUGUGAGGGUCAGGCUUACAGUUUCUGUUUGAGCUUCAAUUUCAUUAGGAAGACGAGGAGUCAGAGAAAGCAAACUGGUGCUUCUAAGCUACUACUUGAGCCUGGCAUGAAGGAGACAGCAUCUAUAUCCUGUGCCAUUAACACAGCAAGUGAGGAGGAAGCAGUGAAGGAGAGACAGAGGUGGGGUCAUGCAGAUCUGCUCUCCCAGGGUUAUGGCCCACACUUCAGUUUCUGGUUUGCCACUCACUACCCAAGCUGGUCUAUAAUUGAACUGGAAGAUCAUGGAUUUGGCUAAGGUAACUGGCCAUUGAGAUUUAAAGCUUACUCUCCCCACAAAACAAAACAAACCCAAAAGGCAAAAAGCCCUGCUAUUGUGGGCAUAAGCCAGUGUGUCCAUCUGAGACCUGAUCUGGGGCCCCUGUGUCUGCACAUCAGCACCUUACUGACUGAUCCACACCCCAGCCCCUUCACACAGGCCUUCAAUUACUCACUAAGAAA
Molecule: long non-coding RNA, 658 nt
Filed under: Mus caroli (Ryukyu mouse)
Lineage: Eukaryota; Metazoa; Chordata; Mammalia; Rodentia; Muridae
Description: lncRNA (MGP_CAROLIEiJ_G0003471.1)
Source: RNAcentral